Molecule: ribosomal RNA, 309 nt
Filed under: uncultured eukaryote
Lineage: Eukaryota
Description: partial 18S ribosomal RNA
Rfam family: Eukaryotic small subunit ribosomal RNA
Source: RNAcentral
CCCUUAGAUGUUCUGGGCGGCCCGCGCACUACAUUGGCACUAGCAAAGAGAUCCUAGAUUGAAUUCUUUGGGGUAUUCUUCUAAGUGGUGUCGUGACUGGGAUAAAUCCUUGUAAUUAUUGGUUUUGAACGAGGAAUUCCUUGUAAUCGCGGUUUAUCAGCUCGCGUUGAAUGCGUCCCUGCCCUUUGUACACACCGCCCGUCGCUCCUACCGAUGGAUCGUCCGGUGAAGCUCACGGAGUGACUGUUCACGCAACGGUUUACGAAGUGAAAUGGACCUCACGAUUUAGAGGAAGGAGAAGUCGUAACA